RNAcentral lists this ribosomal RNA (370 nucleotides) under Vexillum ziervogelii. Its description in RNAcentral is "partial 12S ribosomal RNA". The record is from RNAcentral. Lineage: Eukaryota; Metazoa; Mollusca; Gastropoda; Neogastropoda; Costellariidae.
UCUCGGAAAUAAAAAGUAAAUCUACCAGAGUACUAUGAACAAAAAUUUAAAACUCAAAGGGCUUGGCGGUGCUUUAGACUUUUCAGGGGAACCUGUCUUAUAAUCGACAAUCCACGCCACACCUAACCUUUUCUUGCACACAUUUUGUAUACCGUCGUCGUCAGGUAACUUUUAAAAAUUUUAAUAGUUAGCAGAGAAGCUUGUAAUUAAUAAACUUAAACGUCAGAUCAAGGUGCAAUUAAUGAAAAGGGCAAGAUGGGUUACAAUUAUGCAAUAAUAACACGGAAAACUAGUUGAAAUACUACUUUAAAGGAGGACUUGAAAGUAAAUUAUUUUAUAUAUACUGAUUGAAUAGAGCUCUGAAGCGUGC